This is a long non-coding RNA of Brassica rapa (field mustard), 736 nucleotides long. RefSeq lists it as uncharacterized. Lineage: Eukaryota; Viridiplantae; Streptophyta; Magnoliopsida; Brassicales; Brassicaceae. The record is from RefSeq and is a predicted model, not a curated record.
UACAGUCCUCAUCGCUUACCAUGCCGUAACUAGGGUUCGUCUUCUUCUUCUUCUAACACUUGGUAUCUAAAUUUUUUUUCUCUGUUAUCUGUCAGCAUCAAUGGCGUCUCGAGUAAUUGGAUUACUGAAAUCGAGUUGCAGAAUCUCUUUGUUUGUCUCCAAUCGCGUCUUAUAGCCUUCUCUUCUAAUAAUUCGAAACGUUCUGAGUUAUUCAUCGCAUUUAUCACCUUAUUAACUCCAUAGGCAACAUAAACCACUAUCUGACUUUAAUUGUGAGUUAUACCUCUGAACUACACCUAUAAAAAUCCUGGCCGAGGCUCCUCCACCGUCCAAGUGCUGUUGCUCAGAUUCUGGAAAACCAGAAAUGUUCGAGUGGGGGGGGGGGGGGGGGGGUGGGGAACUGAUGUCUCUUGAUAUGCUCUUACUGGAUUCAAAGGUAAUUAUGUUCUUAAACUCAUGUUCAGAUUGCUUUAUGUUCACAAAACUCAUGUUCAAAGUUUUCUUAAAGCGAUGUAAGAAAUGUUCUUAGGCUUAUGUUCAUAGUCUUCUUAUGUUAUUAAACCCAUGUUCACAGUGUUCUCGGUACAUCUGCAGAGAACUCUCGAAUUAUUUCUUAAAUCUCUCAAAGACGUUUAAUCUCAAGGUAAGACACCUAUAGAGUCAACGAAAAUGGGUAGAUAAACUACAUAAAAGGAUACAAAGAUUCAACCUUUCUGGAUUUCUAGAGUUGUCGAAC